RNAcentral lists this unclassified non-coding RNA (271 nucleotides) under uncultured fungus. RNAcentral's name for it is "sequence contains ITS1". Lineage: Eukaryota; Fungi. The record is from RNAcentral.
UUUCGUUUCCUCGCUCGUUCCUUCUUCCGUGGCGCGAUGGCCUUCAGACGGAGGGGCCGCGGUUGGGUUGGGCCGCUUCGUUUGCUCUCGGGCCUCCCCCGGGGCGAGGCCCGGGGAAGCAACAGGGAUGGGUACGCAGAGGGUGUGGUUUGGACAUUGCCGGCUUGGCGCUGGAGAGCCGGGUUGGUUACCCGGCGGCCCCCACGCCUGUUCAGCUUGCUCGAAGCUGUCCUUUCUAUUAAUGAUCCUUCCGCAGGUUCACCUACGGAAA